Mya arenaria is the source of this 1693-nucleotide RNA transcript. RefSeq lists it as uncharacterized. NCBI's taxonomy places the organism in Eukaryota, Metazoa, Mollusca, Bivalvia, Myida, Myidae. The record is from RefSeq and is a predicted model, not a curated record. The transcript is spliced from 5 exons.
UGUUCCGAUUAUGUUGGAUUAUGGCCGAGGUGUUCCGAUUUGGUCAAUCUAAUUAGACAAAACGAAAAUAUCAAUUUCGGAAAAUAAGAAUAGCAAAACAGUAUACUGUGUCAUCGUCAACACGGGUGGCAAGCAGCAAGGACAUAUUUUUGCUGGACAGAUUUUUCAUUAAAUAUGGAAUUCAAAAUUCUGUACGUAGUUUUACUGCUUCUGCUUGGAUUUGAAGGGACGGAUUCGAUUGUGAAUGGGAUCCCGUAUAUUAAAGAUUGUCCAGACUUCGAUGACCAUGGCAGCUGGACAGUAAGUAACACAGAUGUACACCGUAGGUGCAUUCUGAAGUGUAACCAGGGAUACACACCAAACGCCUGUCACGUGAUAUAUCUUCAUAGAGAUCGCUCGAACUAUGCACACACACCACAUUGCGUCAAAAAACCAAGUUGGGGUCAAGCAUCGAGAGCCGGGGCGGGCGUUGCCGCUCCUGCACCCAUUGCAGCGUCUGACCGACCUCCAACGCCAAAGGCUCCCCGAGCUCCCCUGAAACAUGAAGCCAUGGUAAAUACAGCGAGCUCUUCUAUUUUAAACGUUUGCCACCCUGUAAUGUGUUUCCAUGGUGUGAGGUUUGACAAAAGUUCUCAUUAAAAGGGGCGAGCUUUGCCAAUUGAUCUCUGGUUGCCGGAGAUUAAUCCGGCUCAACCUUCACCUACACCUACACCAGAACCGCCUGAUCUUGGUGCUGAUUUACCAGAACCAAACCUGUGUUAUUGUCAGCAUUGAAACAGGAAGAUACACCGGGGACGAGGUGUAGAGCUCCAGCUGGUUUGAAUGUGUCAGCAACCUGUGUUACUUUAACGCAUUGAUUUAUUGGAGUAAUUCAAGUGCUGUUAGGAUAAAAUAAUAGUUCUAUAAAUAGUAAUGUAUCCUACAAUUCUUUAUACGUAUCCUGCUUUUUUACUUCACAUAUUCAUUCGAGCUUUUUUUAUUAAUCUUGACAUGCAUAUAUGCGUUUAUCAUUUUUCUUGUUAUAUGUAGUCUGCAUAUUAUGAGAAAUAAUUAUGUAGUUUUUCAUAUAAAUACCAAUUCAAAGGAACUUGCUAGUUUGUUGAAGUCAUCAAGUCUCCUUUUAUAAUUCAUUUUAUACAGUAGAACUAGCAUUCAGCAAAAUUUGAAAAUAAAAAUAAAAAAAAUAAUGAGCGAACAUAAUGAUAAAAAAUCCUUUAGGUGUACAAGUUUAUAUAGUAAAAGCCCCAGGGCAUGGCCAUAUACGGUCCAAGGAAUAUUGUUUAAAACAACAUUUGAUGGCGUAUGGUUAAAAUAGUUUAGAGCUUUUAUACAGAGGACGGUUAAUGUGGUGCUCUUGCUAUAGGCCCAGGAGACUGUUGACCUCACAAACACUUGCUCCUGAAAAUCUAGCCAUUUUACUGGAGAGCAACAGGUAACCAUUCUUUAUAAAGAGUCAUAGCAGCAAAAAUCUGUAUUUUAAUAAUCUGCGAAACAUGGCUGACUCGUGGAAUAUGUUGAUCAAGCAUCGUCGUUGUCAUGGUCAGUGAUUGACCCCUAUUGUGAUUGGGAUCAAAAUAUCAUGGUCAAAGUCAUUGGAGACGUUGAAUUCUUAUUUAUUGCGGGUCGACUUUGUUCUGAUAUUCAAGUUUUUAAAAUGAAAUAAAAUUUCUUUGUCUUUGUCUGAAAUGUAACA